UCAAAUAUAUAUCAUAGAUAAUCUGAUCACAAGUCCACAAUUCAUCGGAUCUCGACAAACACACCGCCAAAGAAGAUUACAUCGGAUAGAUCUCCAUGAAGAUCAUGAGGAACUUCGUAUUGAAGAUCCAAGAGAGAGAAGAAGCCAUCUAGCUACUAACUACGGACCAGUAGGUCUGAAGUGAACUACUCACAAGUCAUUGGAGGGGCGAUGAUGAUGAUGAAGAAGCCCACCUGGCUUGGCCCAGAAGCCCCCUGGACUUCUUCCGUUCGGGAAAAAAUCAUUUUGGGGUUUUUCUUCCGUUUGGACUCCAUUCCAAAAUCAGAUGUGAAAAGAGUCAAAAACACGGAAAAAACAGGAACUGGC
Molecule: long non-coding RNA, 366 nt
Filed under: Hordeum vulgare
Lineage: Eukaryota; Viridiplantae; Streptophyta; Magnoliopsida; Poales; Poaceae
Description: long non-coding RNA (HVUL_LNC001388)
Source: RNAcentral